Molecule: ribosomal RNA, 484 nt
Filed under: uncultured bacterium
Lineage: Bacteria
Description: partial 16S ribosomal RNA
Rfam family: Bacterial small subunit ribosomal RNA
Source: RNAcentral
AUUGAACGCUGGCGGCAGGCCUAACACAUGCAAGUCGAGCGGAUGAAGGGAGCUUGCUCCUGGAUUCAGCGGCGGACGGGUGAGUAAUGCCUAGGAAUCUGCCUGGUAGUGGGGGAUAACGUCCGGAAACGGGCGCUAAUACCGCAUACGUCCUGAGGGAGAAAGUGGGGGAUCUUCGGACCUCACGCUAUCAGAUGAGCCUAGGUCGGAUUAGCUAGUUGGUGGGGUAAAGGCCUACGAAGGCGACGAUCCGUAACUGGUCUGAGAGGAUGAUCAGUCACACUGGAACUGAGACACGGUACAGACUCCUACGGGAGGCAGCAGUGGGGAAUAUUGGACAAUGGGCGAAAGCCUGAUCCAGCCAUGCCGCGUGUGUGAAGAAGGUCUUCGGAUUGUAAAGCACUUUAAGUUGGGAGGAAGGGCAGUAAGUUAAUACCUUGCUGUUUUGACGUUACCAACAGAAUAAGCACCGGCUAACUUCGUG